This 422-nucleotide ribosomal RNA is filed under the name uncultured bacterium. RNAcentral's name for it is "bacterial SSU rRNA". It matches the Rfam family "Bacterial small subunit ribosomal RNA", at positions 355 to 774 of the family's 1533-position model. The record is from RNAcentral.
UGAGGAAUAUUGGUCAAUGGGGGCAACCCUGAACCAGCCAAGUCGCGUGAAGGAUGAAGGUCUUAUGGAUUGUAAACUUCUUUUACACGGGAAUAAAGCGGGGGACGUGUCCCUCUUUGCAUGUACCGUGUGAAUAAGGAUCGGCUAACUCCGUGCCAGCAGCCGCGGUAAUACGGAGGAUCCGAGCGUUAUCCGGAUUUAUUGGGUUUAAAGGGUGCGCAGGCGGGAUGUUAAGUCGGCGGUGAAAUUUUGCAGCUCAACUGUGAAAGUGCCUUCGAUACUGGCUUCCUUGAGUGUGGAUGAAGUAGGCGGAAUUUGUGGUGUAGCGGUGAAAUGCUUAGAUACCACGAGGAACUCCGAUUCCGCAGGCAGCUUACUAAGCCACAACUGACGCUCAUGCACGAAGGCGUGGGGAUCAAACA